UUGCCUCCUCCACCUCCUUCCCCUCCAAUGCCAAUCCCUUCACCACCACCAGCACCAGUUGUCUCUCCGCCUCCGCCACCGCCUUCUCCACUACCACCUCCACCCCCGCCGCCGCCCCCGCCUUCUCCUUCACCUCCCUCUCCACCACCACCACCACCUCCACCCCCUUCUCCACCUCCACCAUCUCCUUCUCCGCCCCCACCGUCUCCUCCGCCACCUUCUCCGCCUCCCCCAUCACCUCCACCGCCGUCCCCUUCACCCCCACCACCACCGCCUCCAUCUCCUCCGCCGCCUUCACCACCACCUCCAUCUCCUCCUCCACCCUCACCAUCACCACCACCUCCAUCUCCCCCUCCACCCUCACCAUCACCACCACCUCCAUCUCCCCCUCCACCCUCACCAUCACCACCACCUCCAUCUCCCCCUCCACCCUCACCAUCACCACCCCCACCACCUUCACCGUCUCCGCCACCACCAUACUGUGUCCAUCCCCCGCCGCCACCUCCACCAC
This 511-nucleotide long non-coding RNA is filed under the name Carica papaya (papaya). RNAcentral's name for it is "long non-coding RNA (CPAP_LNC010867)". The record is from RNAcentral. Lineage: Eukaryota; Viridiplantae; Streptophyta; Magnoliopsida; Brassicales; Caricaceae.